Molecule: ribosomal RNA, 581 nt
Filed under: Stachybotrys chartarum
Lineage: Eukaryota; Fungi; Ascomycota; Sordariomycetes; Hypocreales; Stachybotryaceae
Description: eukaryotic LSU rRNA
Rfam family: 5.8S ribosomal RNA (bases 191-344)
Source: RNAcentral
UCCGUAGGUGAACCUGCGGAGGGAUCAUUACCGAGUUUACAACUCCCAAACCCUUAUGUGAACCGUACCUAUCGUUGCUUCGGCGGGAACGCCCCGGCGCCCUGCGCCCGGAUCCAGGCGCCCGCCGGAGACCCCAAACUCUUGUGUUUUUUUCAGUAUUCUCUGAGUGGCAAACGCAAAAAUAAAUCAAAACUUUUAACAACGGAUCUCUUGGCUCUGGCAUCGAUGAAGAACGCAGCGAAAUGCGAUAAGUAAUGUGAAUUGCAGAAUUCAGUGAAUCAUCGAAUCUUUGAACGCACAUUGCGCCCGUUAGCAUUCUAGCGGGCAUGCCUGUCCGAGCGUCAUUUCAACCCUCAGGGUCCCCGUUCCGGCGGGGAACCUGGUGUUGGGGAUCGGCCCGCCCCGCGCGGCGCCGUCCCCCAAAUUCAGUGGCGGUCUCGCUGCAGCCUCCCCUGCGUAGUAGUUACAACCUCGCAUCGGAGCUCAGCGCGGCCACGCCGUAAAACCCCCGACUUUCUGAACGUUGACCUCGGAUCAGGUAGGAAUACCCGCUGAACUUAAGCAUAUCAAUAAGCGGAGGA